This 254-nucleotide ribosomal RNA is filed under the name uncultured bacterium. RNAcentral describes it as "partial 16S ribosomal RNA". It matches the Rfam family "Bacterial small subunit ribosomal RNA", at positions 524 to 776 of the family's 1533-position model. The record is from RNAcentral.
UACGGGGGGAGCAAGCGUUGUUCGGAUUUACUGGGCGUAAAGGGCGCGUAGGCGGCCACUGCAAGUCAGUUGUGAAAUCUCCGGGCUUAACCCGGAAAGGUCAACUGAUACUGCGGGGCUAGAGUGCAGAAGGGGCAACUGGAAUUCUCGGUGUAGCGGUGAAAUGCGUAGAUAUCGAGAGGAACACCUGCGGCGAAGGCGGGUUGCUGGGCUGACACUGACGCUGAUGCGCGAAAGCUAGGGGAGCGAACGGG